RNAcentral lists this ribosomal RNA (253 nucleotides) under uncultured bacterium. RNAcentral describes it as "partial 16S ribosomal RNA". It matches the Rfam family "Bacterial small subunit ribosomal RNA", at positions 524 to 776 of the family's 1533-position model. The record is from RNAcentral.
UACGGGGGGGGCAAGCGUUGUUCGGAAUUACUGGGCGUAAAGGGCUCGUAGGCGGCCAACUAAGUCGGAUGUGAAAUCCCCAGGCUUAACCUGGGAACUGCAUCCGAUACUGGAUGGCUUGAAUCCGGGAGAGGGAUGCAGAAUUCCAGGUGUAGCGGUGAAAUGCGUAGAUAUCUGGAGGAACACCGGUGGCGAAGGCGGCAUCCUGGACCGGCAUUGACGCUGAGGCGCGAAAGCUAGGGGAGCAAACGGG